AUGAAUAAACUUGGUGGGCUGUUGCUGGCUCUUUGGAGCAUGUGCACGCCCGUCAUCUUUAUAUUUUUCCACCUGUGCACCUUUGUAGACUUUGAACAAACUUAUCGCUGAAAAUGCGGAUGGAGGGGUUGCUGGAGUACCCGGCUCUCCUUGUCGUUCAAGUCUAUGUUUUUACCAAACUCUACUGUAUGUUUAGAAUGGAAAUGCAAUAGGCUUUUGGCCUAUAAAAGUUAUAUA
RNAcentral lists this unclassified non-coding RNA (237 nucleotides) under uncultured Basidiomycota. Its description in RNAcentral is "sequence contains ITS1". Lineage: Eukaryota; Fungi; Basidiomycota. The record is from RNAcentral.